This 241-nucleotide small nucleolar RNA is filed under the name Phaeomoniella chlamydospora. Its description in RNAcentral is "Small nucleolar RNA snR191". It matches the Rfam family "Small nucleolar RNA snR191". The record is from Rfam by way of RNAcentral. Lineage: Eukaryota; Fungi; Ascomycota; Eurotiomycetes; Phaeomoniellales; Phaeomoniellaceae.
UACCCAUCGCUAAGUCAAGACUCCUUUCUGCAUCGCCAUGCAAAUAUUCUCCAUGGAAGGUUGUCUGUUACAGCUUUGGAACAUCAAUCAAGCUCGCUCAACCUGCAAAGGUAGAGAGACUAAGUCGUCGUCUUGAUGGCAACAGUCGCUGAGCUAUGAGUGCUUCGUUUUGAGUUGAAGUCUGCUCCUUCUUCGUGAAGUUUCUUUCAUAGCAGAUUUCUUAGUUAUGUUUCACACAUCA